RNAcentral lists this long non-coding RNA (2147 nucleotides) under Panax ginseng (ginseng). Its description in RNAcentral is "long non-coding RNA (PGIN_LNC008793)". The record is from RNAcentral. Lineage: Eukaryota; Viridiplantae; Streptophyta; Magnoliopsida; Apiales; Araliaceae.
CGUGUGCUACUAUGAAACCAUGCGUAUUACUGUAUUUUAACCACCGGGUAUUCCAACAGUGUUAACGGUAACAACUACGUCCUUAUUUAUAAAAACUCAAACUUGUCAUUUUCUUCAUCUGACAGUUAUUCUAUUAUGGGGCCCACAAAUGACUGUGCCAUUGUACGAAUAUUCCCCGACAACAAGAAUAUUCCACGACCAAACGAAUAUUCCCCAACAGAAAUGAGUAUUUUAUAACCACUUGCGUAUUUUGAAAAUUUUACAUAUAUCACCCUUAACUUUAAAAUUUUAUCAAUUUAACCAUUUACUGAAUAAUAAUUAUAAGAAAAAUUGAAUACUUUUAUUUCAUAAAAUUCGGGGUCUUACAGUUCUUCUCAAUUUUAGAGUACAAGUCUGCACUAAAGAAAGUUUGGUUUGGAUAAGCUUUAAGGGUAAUUUAGAAUUUAACGAUCAUCAACUAAAGGAUUAGUUGAAUCAACAAAGUUCAAUAACACUACGAGUGAUCAAUAACAAUAUAAUGUAGAAUAAUUUAUGAAUCAUUGGUGAACCAACACUAUAUAUCGAACUCAUGCUUAGAAAUAAACUAAAAAAUAUAAGCAUUAAAUAAAACAAUAAAUCUUGCUUGAAAAAUAUUAAGCUAAGGUUAUGAUCUUGUCAAAUAAGAAAUUAAAUUACUGAACAUGUAUUAACAGAUAACAAGCUGAAAAUAAAAACUUGCUCAAUAUGACAAUAAGAUUACAACUUGUACAAAGUAAAUGAAAUAAGACAACUCAACAUUAGAGAUUAGAGUUCAAGAAGUUGCAUUUAUUAUAAAAAGAAUAAAACUAAAGAAACUUGCUUAACUAUAAACAAGUUAGAAUAAAUCAACAACGAUUAGAAUUCAAAACUUGCUUGAAUAAAGUUAGGGUUAAAGCUUGCUCAAAUAAACUUUAGGAACAAAUAACUUGCUCAAUCAAAGUUUAGGGUAAGGAACUUGCCUCGUGCGUAAGCUAUAAAUUACAACUCACGUUCACCUACACAUAUUAUUAGAAUCACAAUAUUUAUUAGAUAUACUAACAUUCACUUUCCAAAAUAGAACUCACUUUUAGAUAAACUUGUUACUUUAAUACAAGUUUUAAUUCACACCAUAUACACUUCAGAAAUCUCAGGUAUUAGAUUUAAAACAUUUAUUUACUAAUUCACGUGUUCAAUAAAUCAUAACAUAUCGCUUUCAUAACUUACUAAUCUUUAUACAACUUUGAAAUUACUAACGACAUGGUACAAAUCUAUUUUAGUCUCUUCAUUACAUGUUCAUCACAUUAAUAUCUCAUUAAACCUUGACACCAACGCAACUACGCUGGUGCGCAGACAGAAACUACACAGUCUAUUUUAAACACUCUGUUUAGCCCAACUAUCACAAAUUUUAUACACAAAAUAGUAAUUUAAGCAUACCCAAAUGUUAUAAAACUCAUAUAAACAUUGUUCCUCACAUAUAUACCAACUUAGAACAAUUAAACAACAACUUCAAUCAAUUUAAAUCCUUAAAUUCCAUGUUUUUGUACAAAAACUCCAUUUUUUGACAUCCUUCACAAAAGUUAACACUGAGGUAAUAAUUCUACACUAAAUUAACUCAUUCAAAUUACGUUCUCUUCGUUUCUUACUAAAUUAACAUAUUCAAGGCUCAAUUUACAGAUUAAUUCACAAUCUAACUACCAAUUUUUGUACUUUCACAAGCCACAUGCACUGUAAACAAUUUUCUUUCUUUUGAACGUAGUUAGCACACCAAUUGCUUGUCUAGAUGCUAAUUCUAACAUCACAAAUACACACAAACACAAUUAACACUUUAUACAACAACAAUUCAUCCAAUUUGAAUUCACAGAAAAUGAAAAACUCGUGAACAAAGAACAUUCAUGUAUGUAAUAUUAAGGUUUUGGAAGUAUACCUUUAAUUGCUUGGUAAUCCUUGCUAAAACACAAAGAAUUGCUUUGGAAUUCUCAGGAAUCUUUCUCUCAAACUCUCCCUCUAAUUCUCUGUAUACUCCCUUCUAUUUUCUUCUUAGUAUCAGUAUAAGUCAAUUUCUUUUACAUAAAAUAAACUAAGACCAACGCAUAAAAACCAAACGUCUAAAACCGGCGUUUUAAUAAUGAUACUAAUAAAUUAUCAGUUAU